CAUGGCUCAGGAUGAACGCUGGCGGCGUGCUAAUACAUGUAAGUCGAACGGAGUAUUUAGCAAUAGAUAUUUAGUGGCGAACGGGUGAGUAACGCGUUGGUGACCUGCCCCGAAGAGCGGGAUAACAGAUCGAAAGGUCUGCUAAUACCGCAUGAUCUCAUCAGGAUUAGAGGCCUGAUGAAGAAAGGAGCAAUCCGCUUUGGGAGGGGCCUGCGUCCCAUCAGCUAGUUGGUAAGGUAACGGCCUACCAAGGCAAAGACGGGUAGGGGGCCUGAGAGGGUGACCCCCCACACUGGCACUGAAACACGGGCCAGACACCUACGGGUGGCAGCAGUAGGGAAUAUUGCACAAUGGGCGAAAGCCUGAUGCAGCAACGCCGCGUGCGCGAAGAAGGCCUUCGGGUCGUAAAGCGCUUUUCGGGGAGAAGAGAAAGGACGGUAUCCCCGGAAUAAGGCUCGGCUAACUACGUGCCAGCAGCCGCGGUAACACGUAGGAGCCAAGCGUUAUCCGAAUUCACUGGGCGUAAAGCGCGUGUAGGCGGCUUGGUAAGUUGGAUGUGAAAGCUCCUGGCUCAACUGGGAGAGGACGUUCAAUACUGUCAGGCUAGAGGACGGCAGAGGGAGGUGGAAUUCCCGGUGUAGUGGUGAAAUGCGUAGAUAUCGGGAGGAACACCAGUGGCGAAGGCGGCCUUCUGGGCCGUACCUGACGCUCAGACGCGAAAGCUAGGGGAGCGAACGGGAUUAGAGACCCCGGUAGUCCUAGCCGUAAACGAUGUAGACUUGGUGUCGUUGGGUUAAAAGCCGGCGGUGCCGAAGCAAACGCGAUAAGUCUACCGCCUGGGGACUACGACCGCAAGGUUAAAACUCAAAUGAAUUGACGG
Molecule: ribosomal RNA, 880 nt
Filed under: uncultured bacterium
Lineage: Bacteria
Description: bacterial SSU rRNA
Rfam family: Bacterial small subunit ribosomal RNA
Source: RNAcentral